GACGAACGCUGGCGGCGUGCCUAAUACAUGCAAGUUGAGCGCUGAAGGUUGGUACUUGUACCCACUGGAUGAGCAGCGAACGGGUGAGUAACGCGUGGGGAAUCUGCCUUUGAGCGGGGGACAACAUUUGGAAACGAAUGCUAAUACCGCAUAAAAACUUUAAACACAAGCUUUAAGUUUGAAAGAUGCAAUUGCAUCACUCAAAGAUGAUCCCGCGUUGUAUUAGCUAGUUGGUGAGGUAAAGGCUCACCAAGGCGAUGAUACAUAGCCGACCUGAGAGGGUGAUCGGCCACAUUGGGACUGAGACACGGCCCAAACUCCUACGGGAGGCAGCAGUAGGGAAUCUUCGGCAAUGGACGAAAGUCUGACCGAGCAACGCCGCGUGAGUGAAGAAGGUUUUCGGAUCGUAAAACUCUGUUAGUAGAGAAGAACGUUGGUGAGAGUGGAAAGCUCAUCAAGUGACGGUAACUACCCAGAAAGGGACGGCUAACUACGUG
RNAcentral lists this ribosomal RNA (497 nucleotides) under uncultured bacterium. RNAcentral's name for it is "partial 16S ribosomal RNA". It matches the Rfam family "Bacterial small subunit ribosomal RNA", at positions 28 to 507 of the family's 1533-position model. The record is from RNAcentral.